Molecule: ribosomal RNA, 253 nt
Filed under: uncultured bacterium
Lineage: Bacteria
Description: partial 16S ribosomal RNA
Rfam family: Bacterial small subunit ribosomal RNA
Source: RNAcentral
UACAGAGGUGGCAAGCGUUGUUCGGAAUCACUGGGCGUAAAGGGCGUGUAGGCGGUCAGGUAAGUGGGAUGUGAAAUGCCCCGGCUCACCCGGGGACCGGCAUCCCAUACUGCUUGGCUUGAGUACGGGAGAGGAUGUGGGAAUUCCUGGUGUAGCGGUGAAAUGCGUAGAUAUCAGGAGGAACACCGGUGGCGAAGGCGCACAUCUGGCCCGAUACUGACGCUGAGGCGCGAAAGCUAGGGGAGCAAACGGG